Non-coding RNA from Parelaphostrongylus tenuis, 71 nucleotides. The record is from the annotation of a GenBank genome assembly. Lineage: Eukaryota; Metazoa; Nematoda; Chromadorea; Rhabditida; Metastrongylidae.
ACCUCGGUGGUGUAGUGGUAGCACGCGUUCACAAUAUAGAUGAAAUGCGGGUUCGACUCCCGCCUGGGGUC